AGAUGAGAAAUUUUGAGGCUUUUGCUUUAAUUUAUGAUGAAGAAAUUCAUUAAUACUUAUAAUUUUUUUUCUAAUAGGAUUUCGUCUACUUUCAUUAAGAUUGUCUAUAAAUUUAUUGUCCUAAGCCACUAGGUUUAGUCUAGUGGUGAGGAAUUUGUUUCUCUUAAAUUGGGAUUUUCUCGGUGGACGGUAACAUGAAAAUUGAAAAGUAACUGGGUAAUAAUUUAGGAGUUUUAACUCAAUUUACACUAGCUAAAUUCUUUCAAUAACAGCUUAGCCAAGAAAGCCCCUACACUACAUUCUACCAUCUUACUUUGCUUCCACACCAAGUGUUCAAACUUGUGUUCAACGAUUUAUUAUUGUGGUAAUAAAAGUUUAACUAAACUGUCAAGGUAUGCAAGGAAAAAAUUAAUAGUAAUAAGGUAACAAGUUCAUGGGAUGAUCAUAGUAGUUUCUGAAAUGUUUCAAAUAUGCAAAAUACCACACAUGACUACUAAAACCUUAGCUCAACAUACACUUCCAAGUUAUAAUAUAUUAGCUCAACAAGCCAAAAAGAAGACAUAAACCGAAUGUUUACGCUUGCCAAAGUAGCUUUCUCCAUCAGUCAUGAUCUUUCCCCCAGCAUUGAUCUUAGCUCUGUACGAGGUUCCUAUUGUUACCAUCAGACAAUCCACGCACAUAUUGAAG
RNAcentral lists this long non-coding RNA (687 nucleotides) under Trifolium pratense (red clover). RNAcentral describes it as "long non-coding RNA (TPRA_LNC008816)". The record is from RNAcentral. Lineage: Eukaryota; Viridiplantae; Streptophyta; Magnoliopsida; Fabales; Fabaceae.